RNAcentral lists this ribosomal RNA (642 nucleotides) under Vibrio neonatus. RNAcentral's name for it is "bacterial SSU rRNA". It matches the Rfam family "Bacterial small subunit ribosomal RNA", at positions 57 to 680 of the family's 1533-position model. The record is from RNAcentral. Lineage: Bacteria; Pseudomonadati; Pseudomonadota; Gammaproteobacteria; Vibrionales; Vibrionaceae.
GCAGUCGAGCGGAACGAGUUAUCUGAACCUUCGGGGAACGAUAACGGCGUCGAGCGGCGGACGGGUGAGUAAUGCCUAGGAAAUUGCCCUGAUGUGGGGGAUAACCAUUGGAAACGAUGGCUAAUACCGCAUGAUGCCUACGGGCCAAAGAGGGGGACCUUCGGGCCUCUCGCGUCAGGAUAUGCCUAGGUGGGAUUAGCUAGUUGGUGAGGUAAGGGCUCACCAAGGCGACGAUCCCUAGCUGGUCUGAGAGGAUGAUCAGCCACACUGGAACUGAGACACGGUCCAGACUCCUACGGGAGGCAGCAGUGGGGAAUAUUGCACAAUGGGCGCAAGCCUGAUGCAGCCAUGCCGCGUGUAUGAAGAAGGCCUUCGGGUUGUAAAGUACUUUCAGUCGUGAGGAAGGCGGCGUCGUUAAUAGCGGCGUUGUUUGACGUUAGCGACAGAAGAAGCACCGGCUAACUCCGUGCCAGCAGCCGCGGUAAUACGGAGGGUGCGAGCGUUAAUCGGAAUUACUGGGCGUAGAGCGCAUGCAGGUGGUUUGUUAAGUCAGAUGUGAAAGCCCGGGGCUCAACCUCGGAAUAGCAUUUGAAACUGGCAGACUAGAGUACUGUAGAGGGGGGUAGAAUUUCAGGUGUAGCG